UACGUAGGGCGCGAGCGUUGUCCGGAAUUAUUGGGCGUAAAGAGCUCGUAGGCGGCUUGUUGCGUCUGCUGUGAAAUCCCGGGGCUUAACCCCGGGCGUGCAGUGGAUACGGGCAGGCUGGAGGCAGGCAGGGGAGAAUGGAAUUCCCGGUGUAGCGGUGAAAUGCGCAGAUAUCGGGAGGAACACCGGUGGCGAAGGCGGUUCUCUGGGCCUUACCUGACGCUGAGGAGCGAAAGCGUGGGGAGCGAACAGG
RNAcentral lists this ribosomal RNA (253 nucleotides) under uncultured bacterium. RNAcentral describes it as "partial 16S ribosomal RNA". It matches the Rfam family "Bacterial small subunit ribosomal RNA", at positions 524 to 776 of the family's 1533-position model. The record is from RNAcentral.